Long non-coding RNA from Sphaeramia orbicularis (orbiculate cardinalfish), 167 nucleotides. RefSeq lists it as uncharacterized. Lineage: Eukaryota; Metazoa; Chordata; Actinopteri; Kurtiformes; Apogonidae. The record is from RefSeq and is a predicted model, not a curated record. The transcript is spliced from 3 exons.
GUGGUGUUGUAAUGCUCUCUCAAAAAAGAGAAGACGUGGAGCAUGCGCAUAAAGGUUGCUUGGUUCUACCAGGUCUGAUCCAGUAUUUCCUUCUGGUUGCUCCUCUCCACGGUAGAUCCAAGAGGAUGUAGUGAAUGUUGUUAGCUAUGAAAAAAUGAAUAAAAAGA